This 497-nucleotide ribosomal RNA is filed under the name uncultured bacterium. RNAcentral's name for it is "partial 16S ribosomal RNA". It matches the Rfam family "Bacterial small subunit ribosomal RNA", at positions 28 to 507 of the family's 1533-position model. The record is from RNAcentral.
GAUGAACGCUGGCGGCGUGCCUAAUACAUGCAAGUCGAGCGAACAGAUGAUGAGCUUGCUCCUCUGACGGUAGCGGCUGACGGGUGAGUAACACGUGGAUAACCUACUUAUAAGUCGGGGAUAACUACGGAAAACCGGAUCUAAUACUAGAGAAUAUAUUGAACCGCAGGGUGCAAUAGUGAAAGACGGCUUUGGUGUCAGUUAUAGAUGGAUCCGCGUCGCAUUAGCGGGUUGGUAAGGUAACGGCUUACCAAGGCAACGAUGCGUAGCUGACCUGAGAGGGUGAUCGGCCACACUGGAACUGAGACACGGUCCAGACUCCUACGGGAGGCAGCAGUAGGGAAUAUUCCGCAAUGGGCGAAAGCCUGACGGAGCCACGCCGCGUGAGUGAUGAAGGUCUUCGGAUCGUAAAGCUCUUUUAUUAGGGAAGAACAAAUGUGUAAGUAACUCUGCACGUCUUGACGGUACCUAAUCAGAAAGCCACGGCUAACUACGUG